UCAGUAGCGAGGUCAGCUGGGAGCUGUCACAGCACAAAGCAUUUGCGUCUGGCAGAGGCCUGUUGGUUGGUGGCUCCAGGCCCUACAUUCAGCCUCCAGAGCUUUGGCAGAAGUGCUGUGCUUCAUUUUUCACUAGGGAACAUGCCCAGCCGGAGUACCUGGCUGAAGUCGGCUUGCACAUCACAGAAAAGGCUCCACUCCCGCCUGCAUCUGUCCUCCCCUCCCUCUCCCCAGGGUCCGAGUGAUUGGAAGCUCCACACUGGCACUCUGCCACCUGGCCUCAGGGGCCGCGGAUGCCUAUUACCAGUUUGGCCUGCACUGCUGGGAUCUGGCAGCUGCCACGGUCAUCAUCAGAGAAGCAGGCGGCAUCGUGAUAGACACUUCGGGUGGACCCCUCGACCUCAUGGCUUGCAGAGUUGUUGCGGCCAGCACCCGGGAGAUGGCGAUGCUCAUAGCUCAGGCCUUACAGACGAUUAACUAUGGGCGGGAUGAUGAGAAGUGACCGUGGCUGAGGCAAAGCUGCUCCCAAGGCCUCCCUGGCCUGCUGUGGGCUCCUGGGGAGGUGGCCCUCGUGGCCCACGCUCCAUGCCAGUGGCUCACGCUCCACUCCUGGCUACCCCAGAGGGAGUUGUCACGCUGCAGUGAGUGGCUGGCCUUUUAAAUCCACGUCUCUCUCACCAGGAUUUGGUGUUUAGCUGUUUCUCUCUUUAAUCUCACGUAGCCUUUUUCAGGUUAGUACGUGUUCUUCUGUCAGGGCCAAAACUCAAAUCUCCUGUGAAAUACGUAUUGAUAAUCCAAUCUUGAUUUUUCCCCCCAGAAUAUAAAUCUCAGGUAAUAAGGCUUUAGAACUGCUGAUAAAGCGGAUCGUUCUCAGGCCCUCCCCCCGGGGUACUUCAGAAUGCAAUAAAUCAAAAUAAUG
This 919-nucleotide small RNA is filed under the name Pongo abelii (Sumatran orangutan). RNAcentral's name for it is "retained intron". The record is from RNAcentral. Lineage: Eukaryota; Metazoa; Chordata; Mammalia; Primates; Hominidae.